UAAAGCUUUGCCAAGGGUUUGUGGAAACAGAAUAAAAGUGACCCACAGCUGGUCAGUGGUGGCGUACACCUUUAAUCCCAGCACUUGGGAGGCAGAGGCAGGCGGAUUUCUGAGUUCGAGGCCAGCCUGGUCUACAGAGUGAGUUCUAGGACAGCCAGGACUACACAGAGAAACCCAGUCUAAAAAAAAGAAAAAAGAAAAAAAAAAAAAAGUGACCCACAGUGGAGUUAGUUGUUCCUGCUGAUUAACACUGAAGCCUUCUCCGUGAGAUUUCACAAGACCUGGGAUAAGGCAGUUUCUGGAGAAGCUGUAUGCUAUCUUCUGCCAGCUUGGAGGCCAGGCAGCCGGAUCACACACAGGAGUGGGAAUGGCUUCAGUCUUAGAGGAAUGAGUCCCUGCAGCCUGGGGCCCACACUGAGCUGGGCUCGUCUCUCUAGGCCCCUCUUUUCCCUCUGCUACUUGGAAGCUCCCGGAGUUUCCCUAUGUAUUUACUCCUUACUAUAUUGGAAUUCCCAGAAGAAGCAGCUUAAUGGGAAGAAGGAUUUAUUUUGGCUUCAUGCUUUGAGAGGGCUGUCUUUAUGGAAGGGAAAGCAUGGCAACAGGAACAGGAGGCUGCUGGUUACGUUGUACUCAGGAAGCAGAACUCAGGAAGAACCGCAUCUUACCAGCCCGCUUCCUUUAGCAAGGCCCCACUUCCUGAAGGAUCCUGAACCACUGCCAAAAGUUCCAGCUAAGGACCACCUGCUCAAACACACGAGCCUGUUAGGGAGUGGUAUACUCAAAUCAGACAUCCCUCCUUGUCAUUCAGGCCAGAACUGUGGCCAGCUUCCUGCAGAGUUGGGUAGAGUGGUGUCAGUGACCUCUCAGUCCCCGCUUUCUUAGGGUUGUCUCUACUUUCUGCUACAUCGCCAUUUGUGCUUUUUGGUGGUGGUGUUUGUUUCUGUUUGUUGGUUGGUUUUUUGAGACAAGAUUUCUCUGUGUAGCUCUGGUUGUCCUGGAACUUGCUUUGUAGACCAGGUUGGCCUGGAACUCAGACAUACACCUGCUUCUACCUACCGAGUGCUGAGACUAAAGAUGAGCCACAUGCCUGACUGCCAUUUAUGCGUUUACAGUUGAAAAACAGGGCUGGGGACAGUGCUCAGUGGAAGAGCAAUUGCCUAGCUUGCAAGUGGCCCUUGUUUUGAUCCCUAGUAC
This 1194-nucleotide long non-coding RNA is filed under the name Mus musculus (house mouse). RNAcentral describes it as "long non-coding RNA chr7:126667957-126669151". The record is from RNAcentral. Lineage: Eukaryota; Metazoa; Chordata; Mammalia; Rodentia; Muridae.